AACGCACAUUGCGCUCCCUGGUAUUCCGGGGAGCAUGCUCGUUUCAGAAUCAUUAACAUUCUCAAAGACACGGUUCUCGCAUUUUUGCGAGGCUGGAUCUUUCGGAUGUGAGCCUCUUUGCUUUGAUGCAAUGGCUUGAAAAUGAUUGUGUUUGCUACCGGCCUUAUGGUUCGGUUCUCUCAAGUGCAACAGAUGUUAAUUCAUUUCGUUUAACUCUUGAUGAGGAACGUUCCUCAACCGGUGUUUGGCUUACACUCCAUCAAUUAUACCUUCAGCGAUACGUGUAUCGCUGUUUCAUAACUUGGUCUGAAAUCGAGCAAGAAAACCCGCUGAACUUAA
This 339-nucleotide unclassified non-coding RNA is filed under the name uncultured Powellomyces. Its description in RNAcentral is "sequence contains ITS2". Lineage: Eukaryota; Fungi; Chytridiomycota; Chytridiomycetes; Spizellomycetales; Powellomycetaceae. The record is from RNAcentral.